Molecule: long non-coding RNA, 737 nt
Organism: Sphaerodactylus townsendi
Lineage: Eukaryota; Metazoa; Chordata; Lepidosauria; Squamata; Sphaerodactylidae
Exons: 3
Source: RefSeq, a predicted model, not a curated record
GUUUCCUUUAUUAGGUCAAACCAUCUCAUAUUAGGACAGCAGCAAUCUAACUAAUCUCAAAAUCAUGCCAUUUUGAAGCAACUGCCAACUACUUCCUUGACUUUUUCUGUUGACUCCACAUCAUAUUUACUGUUCUUUCACAGCAAUGUUUCUAGAACAUGAAAAACAGAAGCUAGAGAACUGGCAUUCAAAAGGAAGAAAGAGACAUAGUUCCCCCCAUCCUGGAACCAAUUUUUGCAAAGGGAAUCCUAUGAAGGAAUCCUAGGUUGUCCUGGAACACAGCUAUGCUUUUUUAUGAGCACUGUCACCCAUAAUAGAGUUUUGCACUUUUUGACAAAUUUAUGAUUUUAGCCCUGUGUGAUUUUUGAGAUACAUAUGAACAGCAUUAGUGAUGGUUCAAAACCAAACUCUGCAAAUAGAAUUUCUGAGUUAUAGCCCAAUCAGUCUGCUACUGAACUGACCCAGAGAAGUACUACUUAGUAGGAGAAAGACUGACAAACUGAAAAUAAGAACUUCCAGACUGGGCCAUCAAUGGGGUUACCAAUCUCUAGGUGGUAGUUGAAGAGCUCCUGCUAUUUCAGUGGAUCUCCAGGUGGCAGAGAUCAAUGCACCUAGAGAAAACUGAUACUUUGGAAGUUAGACUCUAAUGGCAAUGAAGUCCCUCCCUUCAUAGCAUUGAAAUCCCAUGCCUUUCCAAGGGGUUUGCUUUUAUGGCUUACUAGGAUUUAUUGUAUUGA